CACCUACGGGUGGCUGCAGUUGGGAAUCUUGCACAAUGGGGGAAACCCUGAUGCAGCGACGCCGCGUGGACGAUGAAGGCCUUAGGGUUGUAAAGUCCUUUUUUCAGGAAAGACUUAGGACGGUACCUGAAGAAUAAGCUCCGGCUAACUACGUGCCAGCAGCCGCGGUAAGACGUAGGGAGCAAGCGUUGUCCGGAUUUACUGGGCGUAAAGAGCUCGUAGGCGGCUCGUUAAGUGUGAAGUGAAAUCUCCAGUGCUCAACACGGAAACUGCUUUACAUACUGGCGAGCUUGAGGAAAGCAGAGGUAACUGGAAUUCCUGGUGUAGCGGUGAAAUGCGUUGAUAUCAGGAGGAACACCCAUGGCGAAGGCAGGUUACUGGGCUUUAUCUGACGCUGAGGAGCGAAAGCGUGGGUAGCAAACAGGAUUAGAUACCCUGGUAGUCCACGCCCUAAACUAUGGAUACUAGUCGUGAGAGGUAUCGACCCCUCUCGUGACCGUAGCUAACGCGUUAA
This 514-nucleotide ribosomal RNA is filed under the name uncultured bacterium. RNAcentral describes it as "bacterial SSU rRNA". It matches the Rfam family "Bacterial small subunit ribosomal RNA", at positions 335 to 863 of the family's 1533-position model. The record is from RNAcentral.